CGGGGUUGUGAUCAAUAAUUAAUGAUGGUUAUUUAAUAUUUGCUAAGUGCCAGUGCUGUGUUUGCCUCCAAAUCCCCCAGUGUACAUCUAGCCUUACUCAGCAUCCCUCGGCUGCAUUUUUAUUCUGAUGUGGGUCACAAAAGAUUUCACAGGGAGAAUAUGUAAGAAAAAAGAAAGGGUAAUCCUUUGUACAGAAAGAACAGAACCAUCCCACUGCUGGAAAAUCAGCUGUAACUGGGGAGAAAAUUCUCCUUCCCAGCAGUGUGAUUUCAGGGCAGGCAGCUCCGUCAGCUCGAGAUGGCCAGAUCCAGGUUGGGAGCUGUUUUGGGAGUGCAUCUGUGCUGCUCCUCUGCCCCCAUGGAUUGGGGCUGAUUGCAGCAGGGCGGGGAAGAGUGAUGUGGCUGGAGAUUAAAAGAUGUGGAUAAUUUGGGUGCUGGGCAGGGCAGGCUCAUUGGUGCCUCUGCAGUGGUGUCAGUGCCGGGGGGCAGAAGGGACGGGAGGGCUCUGGUGUUCCUUUAUCCACGCAGAGGGAUGCAGGCACUAUUGCCAUGUGGUGGCUGGGGGCAGAACAAGGAAAAAACAACAUGUCACAGAGCAACAGCCAGAGCUGGGAGCAGAGCUGCAGGGCACUGGCAGUGCUCAGUGCUGGAGGAUGAAGCGGGAUGCAGCCUGCUCCAUGCCCGCCCCCAUAAAUCCUGCCUGCCCCAUUCAUCCCUCCCUCACUUUAGCUCUCACUCCUGCAGCUCAGUGCUGCCUUCGACCACGAGUUCCUGAGCGGGGCCGGCGUGUGAUGGAUGCGCAGCGUGGGCACAGGACGGAUGUGGGUUGGGUGUCAGUGUUAUUUGUUGCUGCCUGACUACAACAAAUCAAAUUUUUAAGCAAACUCUCAACGCUCCGUGGCCCUAUUGUUAUCUGGCUGCUGCUGGUGACUUGGACAAAUCACUUAAGCUUUGUGCUCGUGGUUUCUAUUUCGUGCCAGCCAGCUUUGUUAGCAUCCCAUCCCAGGCGUGUGUCACGCAGCGGUGGAGUUAAUCUCCUCUCUAUAGAGAGAGCAUUUGCUGUUCCCUGUGGAGGAUGCAUGCUGCUCUCUCUCCUUUGCUGCCCAGACUUCUUCUCCAAAUGUGCAGGGCAAGUGAGUAUCUCCAGCACUAGAUUAGAAGGCUGUUGCAGUGAGACAAUCCUUCUGCAACUAUUCUGCAACUAAAUUGUGUUUCCUGUGGAUGUGUUGCAGCACUGUGUUUUUAUGGCACGUGACCGUGAGCAGUCCGACUCUGUGCAGGAGUUCCCUGAAACCUCUCCAUCUAAGGGCAGGGGGUUUCUAUUUCCUUUGGCAGGGGAUUUGUUGAUGUUCCAUGAUGCUCACAGAGCUGGGAUGGAACUUGUAGGUGAGUGAUGUUGGAUUUCCCCAUCUCUUGCCUUCUUUGGAAGCUGUGUGCCACCAGCAGGCCCUGAGAUGGGACAUGCACCAACCAGCACCACAAGGUCCUGGAGCUGGGGGGCAACAUGGCCCCACCAUCCCAACCCCUGGUUAUUGCCCCUUCUUAAGACACAGAGUGGGACUUUGCCGUGAGACUUUGGGUGGUGUGGGGAGGGAUCAGAGUCUCGGGUUCUGAAUGGCCAACUCAUCCCUGCCAAGGAGGUGCUGUUAUAUGGUGGCUUCCUGCCAGGCACAGCCACCCCCCUCCAAGACAAUCACCAGCUUAGAUGCCACAAUGAGGAUACACUGCUAUUUUUAAUGUUUUGGGCUCUUAUUUUAUUUUUCCCUUGUUGCUGGAGCCCAUUGCCCACAGUGGCAUUUCUCCCCAGCCCAUUCCUGCUGCUUCUCCCAUCCCAUGAUUGCAGCCAUAAUUCUUCAUGGACAGAAGCUGACUUUAGCACAAGUCUCCUUUGAUCACAGGGAGCCUUAUCUGGUCCCUGAGACAAACGCAUCCCAGGGAGAUGGCAGAAAUUAGGUCAGUUCUGCACCACAGCUUCCCCUUCUGCUGUGCAGGGCUGCCGUCUUGCACCCACCAGCCUCCCCUCUGUGGCAGCUGGAGGCUGGCGUGGCUCUCUCCUUUAUCUCAGGGUUAUCAGCCAGCUGUGAAGCCCAGGGGCUGCCUCAAACCCCUCCUGCUCUGCUCACCACCCCAGGUUUGGUUACCCCAGUUGGUCCCCAUGCCACUCAUGCCACCCCUAAACAAAGGGAAGCAGGGCUUGGCUCAGCAGGCAGGAGCCCCCAGCAGCACGCAGUGCAGCUCCAACCUUUUGUGCAGCUCAUUAACAGCAAAUACUAAAGAGAAGGAGGGCAGAGGCAUUAUGGAGCAAUUUAUAUGUAAAUGUCUGAAGUAUCAAAUAAAAGCUAGCCCACUGGCAUUCAUUAGGAAAAAAAAAAAAGAAAAAACAUUAUUGAAUU
This 2392-nucleotide long non-coding RNA is filed under the name Gallus gallus (chicken). Its description in RNAcentral is "lncRNA (ENSGALG00010025249.1)". Lineage: Eukaryota; Metazoa; Chordata; Aves; Galliformes; Phasianidae. The record is from RNAcentral.